GUGCUGCAACAUGGCCUCCUCCUCCUUCCCCUCGCGUCCCGCGGCACGGGGCGGUAGGGACCAGUUUGAAACAAAU
This 76-nucleotide long non-coding RNA is filed under the name Parus major (Great Tit). RNAcentral's name for it is "lncRNA (ENSPMJG00000015420.1)". Lineage: Eukaryota; Metazoa; Chordata; Aves; Passeriformes; Paridae. The record is from RNAcentral.